This 218-nucleotide unclassified non-coding RNA is filed under the name Hevea brasiliensis (rubber tree). Lineage: Eukaryota; Viridiplantae; Streptophyta; Magnoliopsida; Malpighiales; Euphorbiaceae. The record is from RNAcentral.
CUGCUAUCACUUGCACGGCUAACACUGGUUUUUGCACUCUCAAGUGAAUCUCCUCUAACACUAAUGCUCCCCUUUGUACUUUCACAGUUUCUCUCCAUGAUCAGUAUACCAUCACUUGUAAUGACAUCACUUCUACAUGUACUGGCACAGCUAUUAACAAUGCUCAUGGCUGUGACAACACCAGUACUUUCAAUGCUACUAUGUGGACUUACAUUACC